UCCCUGGUGGCUCAGACGGUAAAGCGUCUGCCUGCAGUGCAGAAGACCCAGGUUCGAUUCCUGGGUUGGGAA
RNAcentral lists this transfer RNA (72 nucleotides) under Bos taurus (domestic cattle). It matches the Rfam family "tRNA". From Rfam's summary of the family: Transfer RNA (tRNA) molecules are approximately 80 nucleotides in length. Their secondary structure includes four short double-helical elements and three loops (D, anti-codon, and T loops). Lineage: Eukaryota; Metazoa; Chordata; Mammalia; Artiodactyla; Bovidae. RNAcentral also lists the same sequence under 2 other names. The record is from Rfam by way of RNAcentral.